This 368-nucleotide ribosomal RNA is filed under the name uncultured bacterium. RNAcentral describes it as "bacterial SSU rRNA". It matches the Rfam family "Bacterial small subunit ribosomal RNA", at positions 28 to 393 of the family's 1533-position model. The record is from RNAcentral.
GACGAACGCUGGCGGCGUGCUUAACACAUGCAAGUCGAGCGGUAAGGCCCUUUCGGGGGUACACGAGCGGCGAACGGGUGAGUAACACGUGGGUGACCUGCCCUCAGCUCUGGGAGUAAGCCUGGGAAACCGGGUCUAAUACUGGAUAUGACUCCAUGACGCAUGUUGUGGGGUGGAAAGCCUUGUGCGGCUGAGGAUGGGCCCGCGGCCUAUCAGGCUUGCUGGUGGGGUGAUGGCCUACCAAGGCGACGACGGGUAGCCGGCCUGAGAGGGCGACCGGCCACACUGGGACUGAGACACGGCCCAGGACUCCUACGGGAGGGCAGCAGUGGGGAAUCUUGCGCAAUGGGCGAAAGCCUGACGCAGCG